GCACCCGUAGCUCAACUGGAUAGAGCGUAUGACUACGGAUCAUAAGGUUAGGGGUUCAAGUCCUCUCGGGUGCGCCA
RNAcentral lists this transfer RNA (77 nucleotides) under Candidatus Phycorickettsia trachydisci. Its description in RNAcentral is "tRNA-Arg". It matches the Rfam family "tRNA". Rfam says of the family: Transfer RNA (tRNA) molecules are approximately 80 nucleotides in length. The record is from RNAcentral. Lineage: Bacteria; Pseudomonadati; Pseudomonadota; Alphaproteobacteria; Rickettsiales; Rickettsiaceae.